Molecule: ribosomal RNA, 447 nt
Filed under: uncultured bacterium
Lineage: Bacteria
Description: SSU rRNA
Rfam family: Bacterial small subunit ribosomal RNA
Source: RNAcentral
AGAGCGAACGCUGGCGGCAGGCUUAACACAUGCAAGUCGAGCGGGCGUAGCAAUACGUCAGCGGCAGACGGGUGAGUAACGCGUGGGAACAUACCUUUUGGUUCGGAACAACACAGGGAAACUUGUGCUAAUACCGGAUAAGCCCUUACGGGGAAAGAUUUAUCGCCGAAAGAUUGGCCCGCGUCUGAUUAGCUAGUUGGUGAGGUAACGGCUCACCAAGGCGACGAUCAGUAGCUGGUCUGAGAGGAUGAUCAGCCACAUUGGGACUGAGACACGGCCCAAACUCCUACGGGAGGCAGCAGUGGGAAUAUUGGACAAUGGGCGAAAGCCUGAUCCAGCCAUGCCGCGUGAGUGAUGAAGGCCCUAGGGUUGUAAAGCUCUUUUGUGCGGGAAGAUAAGUGACGGUACCGCAAGAAUAAGCCCGGCUAACUUCGCGCCAGCAGCCGC